CCCAAGCUCAGCAAUGAGAGUGAGAAGUGGGUAUUUGAGGAGGAAAUAUUCACGCGUAUUUCGCGCAGCCGUGCGAUAGAAAUAAAAACAAAAAUAGGAAUCGAUGCAAAUCAAAACAAAAACAAAAAUUUGCAUUCUUUAGUUACUGGCUGUUCAGUGAAUUUGGAAAUUUGAAUCAAAAACGUCAAAAUCGUGGCAUCUGCAGCAUAAAUUCGCUAGUGUAAGUUUAAAUUAGUGGCGGAGAGCUCACACACGUAAACUAGUUAGUUUGAAUACUUAAAAUAUCAUUAAAUGUUAUAAAUCAACCAACUUGAUUCACGCAGGCUGCACUACACGAUUGUUAGAUUUGUAGAAGAAGGAGGCAAAGGUGAUCAUUCGAAAGAUAAUUGGGAAAUCCCAGAUCAAAAAGAUCGAUUAUCGCAGGAAGUGAUCGCGGUUGUAUAGAGAAUAUCGCAAGAGGAGAAGAAAACUAUUUCUUUCUGAGCGUAAAACGACUGCUACAAAAAGGAAGUU
This 513-nucleotide long non-coding RNA is filed under the name Aedes aegypti (yellow fever mosquito). RNAcentral's name for it is "lncRNA AAEL026030". Lineage: Eukaryota; Metazoa; Arthropoda; Insecta; Diptera; Culicidae. The record is from RNAcentral.